AAGUAGAGCAUAAUCUUGAAACUGUUAGGGUGAAUCUUUGACUGGUUCCGCAAGCACAAAGGCUUAGUCCUGACUUUACUGUCGGCUCUAGCUAGACUUACACAUGCAAGUAUCCGCACCCCCGUGAGAAUGCCCACCUUGUUUCCCCGCCCGGAAACAAGGAGCCGGUAUCAGGCACGACUAAACCCAGCCCAUGACACCUUGCUUAGCCACACCCUCAAGGGACAUCAGCAGUGAUAAACAUUAAGCCAUAAGUGAAAACUUGACUUAGUUAAAGCUUAGAGAGCCUGGGAUUAGAUACCCCACUAUGCUCAGCCCUAAAAUUCGAUAGGUCACUACGCCCCCUAUCCGCCCGGGUACUACGAGCAUCAGCUUAAAACCCAAAGGACUUGGCGGUGCUUCACAUCCGUCUAGAGGAGCCUGUUCUAUAACCGAUAACCCCCGUUAAACCUCACCCUCCCUUGUUAAUCCCGCCUAUAUACCGCCGUCGUCAGCCUACCCUGUGAAGGACUAGAAGUGAGCAAGAUUGGUAAGACCCAAAACGUCAGGUCGAGGUGUAGUAUAUGAGAGGGGAAGAAAUGGGCUACAUUUCCUGAAUCAGGAAAUACGAACAAUGAACUGAAAUAAGCAUUAGAAGGUGGAUUUAGCAGUAAGUAGAAAAACAGAGUGUUCUGCUGAAGUUAAUGGCAAUAAAGCACGUACACAC
Molecule: ribosomal RNA, 706 nt
Filed under: Pomacentrus brachialis (charcoal damsel)
Lineage: Eukaryota; Metazoa; Chordata; Actinopteri; Pomacentridae
Description: partial 12S large subunit ribosomal RNA
Source: RNAcentral